This 127-nucleotide microRNA precursor is filed under the name Hordeum vulgare. RNAcentral describes it as "microRNA MIR1122". It matches the Rfam family "MIR1120/MIR1122 microRNA precursor family". The record is from RNAcentral. Lineage: Eukaryota; Viridiplantae; Streptophyta; Magnoliopsida; Poales; Poaceae.
AUGAUGCUCCCUCCGUCUUAAAAUUAUUGUCUCAUAUUUGUUUAGAUAUGAAUGUAUCUAGUCAAAUUUUAGUAUUUAAUUUCUAGACAAAGCUAAGACAAGAAUUUUGGGACGGAUGGAGUACAAA